UAUAAAUAUUUUUGUUAACAAUUACACUAGUUUUUUUUCAUUCAAUUGUUUUUUCCGCCUGUAUAAAUAUCUCUCAGUAUUAUACAAACAGUUGGCAUACUAUGAAAAACUCGUGACGGUGCGCUGUUGUUUUGACAAUUGUAAAGUACACGGAGAAAUGAUCACAACACUACUAGCUUAUCAGUAAAGUAAAAUGCUAGUACUACAGUUAAAUAAUUGACUAUAAAAUCCCUACCGAAAAGAAAUUGAGGACUUGUGUCUAUGUGGAAAUUAAUAUCACUAUCAUUUCAGAAAGUGGUUGAUGAACAAAAUGCCUUAUUGUAUUUAGCUGGGUGAACUUUAGGUUCUAUGUUCAAAUCACCCCAAGAUCUUUGCAGCUUCUCAGAAAUCAACAUUAUGGUAUCAAGGUAACGCAAAAGCUCAAACUAUCACACGGUGAUUACUAUUUUCUUUAAGUUGGUGCGAUACUUUUAUAGCAGCUGAAUGAGUUUCUCUGAAGGGGAAUUAGUAUCAAGGAAGGAAAACGAUCGAUCGGUUGAAAACCCUGAUCAGUCCAUCCUGAACAGGAUUUUUUUUUCUUUUAAUGGGGGUGGGGUGAUCUGGAAGAAGAGACUCUGCCAAGGCUUCCUCAGACCUUCGAAAUCAACAGUUCCAUUCUUGUACCACACUGUUUAAUGAAUUUAGAAAUAGGAAGAAAUUUCCGUGUUCACGUAUUAUUUAAAGAUGUAGAAAGAAAUUAUCAUAGCAAAAUAAUAAAAGAAUUUUUUUCAUAUUACUGUUAACCGACUCGCACACAUUUACCCAAGGGAAAAAUCAGCUGUUGUAUAUCGAAUGGAUCAAGUAAAGAACUUACCUUGAAUUUAUGCUAUUUUCUUAAAAUCGGAGCUUGUAACCUGUCAGUCACGUUAGGCCUUAGAAGGAAGUAGAGACAUGGACCAAAAUAGUAUUCCUCCAUGGCUGUUUGAUGGCAAUAAUACUGCAUUUGUGAUUUUCCAUCAAACAAACUAUAAAGUUACAAACUGUAAAGUAAAAAUAAAAACCGAAAAAAAA
Molecule: long non-coding RNA, 1050 nt
Organism: Octopus bimaculoides (California two-spot octopus)
Lineage: Eukaryota; Metazoa; Mollusca; Cephalopoda; Octopoda; Octopodidae
Source: RefSeq, a predicted model, not a curated record